This 215-nucleotide small nucleolar RNA is filed under the name Theobroma cacao (cacao). RNAcentral describes it as "snoRNA Plant_U3". It matches the Rfam family "Plant small nucleolar RNA U3". From Rfam's summary of the family: Small nucleolar RNAs (snoRNAs) are involved in the processing and modification of rRNA in the nucleolus. There are two main classes of snoRNAs: the box C/D class, and the box H/ACA class. U3 snoRNA is a member of the box C/D class. Lineage: Eukaryota; Viridiplantae; Streptophyta; Magnoliopsida; Malvales; Malvaceae. The record is from Rfam by way of RNAcentral.
ACGACCUUACUUGAACAGGAUCUGUUCUAUAGGCUCGUACCUCUGUAUCCUUUAGCACAAAGGAGACAGGCUCCCAAGUCUGGUUGAUGAAUCAUGGCCUUGUGAUCUGAGCGUGAUUAACAGCUUUCAUGGUUCCUGGUGAUCAAUAGAAGCAGUAGAGGAUCGUUACCCAGCUGGUGUCCAGUUGGGAUGGUCACAAGGUUGUCUGACAGACU